UGCUGCAUAACUAGCGAUUGUAUACAUACAAAAUGAGACAAAACAAUUUCUAAUUAGUUUCUAAUUAUAAGGUAUGACACGUUUUAAGGUAUGGUGGCCAAUACUGAUUUUAUUUGCAAUUUUCUUUCAGAUAUGGGACCCUAUUAUUCGGAGAACUGCAGAUUUUAUGAAGCUGUCUUUGACAGAAGAUUUGGUUUUCUCCAUCUGUGUUGCCACCAACCAUUAUGCUGAGAUGGUCAUAUCUAGGGGGAAGGGUUGCCAUAUACUUCCCAAGGAAGUUUGCAGCCUCUCACUGAAGAGGAACUGUACAGAUUUUUGUGCAUUAUCUUAUACACGCCUGCUGUGAAGUUCCAGUCGAUAGACAGAUAUUGGUCAACGCAUGCCCCUGUCGGAACAACUCGUUGUCAAGAAUUAUGUCUAGAAAUAGGUUUCAAGAGGUUGAAUAUAAGAACAUUUUUGUUAAAUAUGAUGCAAGUACAUUUAAAUCUAGUGAUUGAAAGUAAGUACUUGAACAUUCGCUUAUUUUGAACUUGGAGAGGAAAAAUGGUUAGUACUUUUUGAUAACAUUUGAUAAGGUGUUGUUGCUUAGCAACCAAUUAUAACUGAAUAAAAAAUAGAUUAUUUUAGAUUAACAAUAAUUGAAAGAUCUUUGUUUUAAUGUUGCAAUACUUAUUCUAUUUAAUGGAACAUAAUGGCAAAACGUCAUAUUAUUAGAAAAUGAUGGACAAGUAUAUAAAGUACGAAGUUUCCAUUUGAUGACCUUUGACCUUAAUUCUCUUCAUUACAUUUUUUGUUAAAAACCUUUUAAAAUGAUUAAGAUCUAUUUAAAGAUUAUAUUUUUAAGAUAAUGUGACAUUUACUAUUCAUCAUGGAUUGUAAUUACGUUUAAAUUGUGUCGAAUGGAUGCAGAAAGGCAAAUUAUGGUCAAAAUUGUACUAUGAGUGUUGUUACUUAGCAACCAAAAAUAUUUGUUUGUCAAUAAAAUUGAUUAGUUUGA
Long non-coding RNA from Ostrea edulis (European flat oyster), 997 nucleotides. RefSeq lists it as uncharacterized. NCBI's taxonomy places the organism in Eukaryota, Metazoa, Mollusca, Bivalvia, Ostreida, Ostreidae. The record is from RefSeq and is a predicted model, not a curated record. The transcript is spliced from 2 exons.